Molecule: ribosomal RNA, 254 nt
Filed under: uncultured bacterium
Lineage: Bacteria
Description: partial 16S ribosomal RNA
Rfam family: Bacterial small subunit ribosomal RNA
Source: RNAcentral
UACGGGGGGAGCAAGCGUUGUUCGGAUUUACUGGGCGUAAAGGGCGGGUAGGCGGCCACCGCAAGUCAGUUGUGAAAUCUCCGGGCUUAACCCGGAAAGGUCAACUGAUACUGCGGGGCUAGAGUGCAGAAGGGGCAACUGGAAUUCUCGGUGUAGCGGUGAAAUGCGUAGAUAUCGGAAGGAACAUCAGUGGCGAAAGCGGCUUCCUGGACCAGUACCGACGUUCAGGCACGAAAGCGUGGGGAGCAAACAGG